Pelobates cultripes (western spadefoot toad) is the source of this 208-nucleotide non-coding RNA. NCBI's taxonomy places the organism in Eukaryota, Metazoa, Chordata, Amphibia, Anura, Pelobatidae. The record is from the annotation of a GenBank genome assembly.
AUGACCAGGGAAACCAAGUCGACCGAGGAUUCCGGUCUUUCCAUGCGAUCCCUGUGUACGGUGCACCUGCUAGUCUUGUUACCCGAGCACGGCAGUGCACGUUUGCUCUAUGAAGGCCUCAGGAUCUCAUGUAGCCUUGACAUGGGAAAACUGUCUGCAUAACCUAAACAAUAUUAGAUAAAUGAACAUAAACAGUGAUAGCCUGAAG